GACCAGGACGCUGUGCCCCCGCUGGGCGAG
This 30-nucleotide non-coding RNA is filed under the name Actinoplanes sp. SE50/110. Lineage: Bacteria; Bacillati; Actinomycetota; Actinomycetes; Micromonosporales; Micromonosporaceae. The record is from RNAcentral.